Molecule: small nucleolar RNA, 127 nt
Filed under: Echinops telfairi (small Madagascar hedgehog)
Lineage: Eukaryota; Metazoa; Chordata; Mammalia; Afrosoricida; Tenrecidae
Description: Small nucleolar RNA SNORA61 (ENSETEG00000026310.1)
Source: RNAcentral
UCUCUCCAGAUUCCUUAUCCUUCGAACCUAUAUAUGGUUUGAGUGGCUUUUAAAAAGAAGAAGAAGAAAAGUAAAACUGAAAUGAACUUGGAGUCUUUACUGACAUACAAGUUCAUUUCAAACAUAC